UGAGCAAUCUGCCCUUCUCAUCGGAAUAAGCGUUGGAAACGACGUCUAAUGCCGAAUACGACCUCCUUUCGCAUGAUCGGAGGUGGAAAGCUCCGGCGGAGAAGGAUGAGCUCGCGGCCUAUCAGCUAGUUGGUGUGGGUAUGGCCCACCAAGGCGACGACGGGUAGCCGGCCUGAGGAGGGUGACCCGGCCACACGUGGGACUGAGACACGGCCCAGACCUCCGUACGGGGAGCAG
RNAcentral lists this ribosomal RNA (237 nucleotides) under uncultured bacterium. RNAcentral describes it as "partial 16S ribosomal RNA". It matches the Rfam family "Bacterial small subunit ribosomal RNA", at positions 118 to 351 of the family's 1533-position model. The record is from RNAcentral.